Molecule: ribosomal RNA, 253 nt
Filed under: uncultured Aquicella sp.
Lineage: Bacteria; Pseudomonadati; Pseudomonadota; Gammaproteobacteria; Legionellales; Coxiellaceae
Description: partial 16S ribosomal RNA
Rfam family: Bacterial small subunit ribosomal RNA
Source: RNAcentral
UACAGAGGGUGCGAGCGUUAAUCGGAGUUACUGGGUGUAAAGGGCGCGUAGGCGGUGAGAUGUGUGUGAUGUGAAAGCCCCGGGCUUAACCUGGGAAGAGCAUCGCAAACUGUUUGACUAGAGUAUAUGAGAGGGUGGCGGAAUUUCCGGUGUAGCGGUGAAAUGCGUAGAGAUCGGAAGGAACGUCAAUGGCGAAGGCAGCCACCUGGCAUAAUACUGACGCUGAGGCGCGAGAGCGUGGGGAGCGAACAGG